AGUACAUCUAACUACCGCGAAGCAGGCGGGAGGGAACGCCAAGCGCGUCGAUGGGCUGGUGACGGGACCGAAACCAAGGCCGGCCGCGUCGGCCCUUCGUACAGGCUACCCUAACAAAUGCCAUAGACUCAAUGGCUUCAAAUACAGCUGCUUUUGGUUGGGUGAUUUCUGCCAGCAAUGAAAACCUGACUGCAACAGUUCCCC
Jaculus jaculus (lesser Egyptian jerboa) is the source of this 204-nucleotide long non-coding RNA. RefSeq lists it as uncharacterized. Lineage: Eukaryota; Metazoa; Chordata; Mammalia; Rodentia; Dipodidae. The record is from RefSeq and is a predicted model, not a curated record. The transcript is spliced from 3 exons.